UCCNGAGGGCUUCGGCAGAACUAGUCAGU
Molecule: non-coding RNA, 29 nt
Filed under: Mus musculus (house mouse)
Lineage: Eukaryota; Metazoa; Chordata; Mammalia; Rodentia; Muridae
Source: RNAcentral